UAGGGUUUUAAAACCCUAAACUGAACUUUUCCCUUUAGUCAGCAAUAGGGUUUUAAACCCUAAACUGAACUCUUUCCUUUAGUCAGCAUUAGGGUUUUAAACCUUGAACUGAACUCUUUCCUUUAGUCAGCAUUAGGGUUUUAAACCUUAAACUGAACUCUUCCCUUUAGUCAGCAUUAGGGUUUUAAACCCUAAACUGAACUUUUCCCUUUAAUCAGGAUUUGGGUUUAAAACCAUAAAUUGAACUCUUCCCUUUAGUCAGCAUUAUGGUUUUAAAUCCUAAACUAAACUUUUCCCUUUAGUCAGCAUUAGGGUUUUAAACCCUAAACUGAACUUUUUCCAUUUAGUCAGCUUAGGGUUUUAACACUAAACUGAACUCUUUCCAUUAGUCAGCAUUAGGGCUUUAAACUCUAAACUGAACUUUUUCCAGUUAGUCAGCAUUAGUGUUUUAAACCCUAAACUGAACUUUUCCCUUUAAUCAUGAUUUGGGUUUUAAACCCUAAACUGACCUCUUCCCUUUAGUCAGCAUUA
This 531-nucleotide long non-coding RNA is filed under the name Nicotiana tabacum (common tobacco). RNAcentral's name for it is "long non-coding RNA (NTAB_LNC000572)". The record is from RNAcentral. Lineage: Eukaryota; Viridiplantae; Streptophyta; Magnoliopsida; Solanales; Solanaceae.